CAAUAGCGUAUAUUAAAGCUGUUGCGGUUAAAAAGCUCGUAGUUGGAUUUCUGUCAAGGACAACUGGUCCGCCCCUCGGGUGAGCACAUAGUUUGGUCUUGGCAUCUUGUUGGAAACUGUUGCUGCACUUGGUUGUGUGGCGCAGUGUCCAGCACUUUCACCUUGAGGAAAUUGGAGUGUUUCAAGCAGGCACAUGCCUUUGGACACAGUAGCAUGGAAUAAUUAGAUUGGGCUUUUGCUCCAACUUGUCGGUUUCUGGAGCUGAGGUGAGAAUUAAUGGGGAUUGUUGGGGGCAUCCGAAUUUAGCCGUCAGAGGUGAAAUUCUUGGAUCUGCUAAAGACGGACAACUGCGAAAGCGUUUGCCCAGGAUGUUUUCAUUGA
This 381-nucleotide ribosomal RNA is filed under the name uncultured eukaryote. RNAcentral's name for it is "partial 18S ribosomal RNA". It matches the Rfam family "Eukaryotic small subunit ribosomal RNA", at positions 592 to 976 of the family's 1831-position model. The record is from RNAcentral.